UGAGCCAACAAAACCUGAUUAUAGGUAUUCAACUAAUUUUGCAAUAAAUAGGUUGUUAACUCUUAAUAUAAUUCAGUUUGAGAAAUGCUUAUGAGGAAUUUUCGAUCACAGUAACUAAGACAGACAUAUAUAUAUUAUCACUUCUAGAUGUUAGGGAUAUUGCUUCCAUUUGUGGCAAGCAUGGGGCUUUUAACUCUUCUGGGUUGGUCUUUUAUUAAGUGAAUUGACAUUAUUGUUUAUGCCU
RNAcentral lists this unclassified non-coding RNA (244 nucleotides) under Hevea brasiliensis (rubber tree). The record is from RNAcentral. Lineage: Eukaryota; Viridiplantae; Streptophyta; Magnoliopsida; Malpighiales; Euphorbiaceae.